Molecule: long non-coding RNA, 1504 nt
Organism: Wasmannia auropunctata (little fire ant)
Lineage: Eukaryota; Metazoa; Arthropoda; Insecta; Hymenoptera; Formicidae
Exons: 2
Source: RefSeq, a predicted model, not a curated record
CGUGGACGUCGCGUACCAGCCGCGACAACGUUGCCGGGCGAAUCCGUUUUCGCGCCCGGCUGUCCGCGGCAGAUUUUUGGUGCGGAUACGUUAUGGGUCACUCCGGGUGGCGGGACAGUUACGUCGACGUGGACAAUCGAUGUUAGCUAUCAGUUGCAGUUUGCGCGGGGCGGUUAUGCCCGGGACAAUUGUUAUUGACAAAUCGUAAUGUCGGUCAUCAGUCAUGACUAUGACAGGGCACCUGCAGCGUCGUGCACUGAACGGCGUGUUUAUGCUCACGAUCAACAUAUGUAGAAAAACGGAGCAAACGCAUCAUGGAAUUUAGCCGCGCAGGAAAUUGUUUGUGCGAGACACAGACAUGCUUGGCAAUGUCGUAAAAUGGGCGUAAAGGCACCUCGGUGUCUAGAUGAUACGGAAACACGGAGAUCCGGCGGAGAAAAAGUGAGUUUUCCACUCCAGGCGUCUGACGAGACUGGAUUAAUUACGGACAACGCGCGCAUGGCGACGUCGACGCGUUAUCGGCAUUAUUAUUCAUGAUCACCGGCGAGAUCCUGGAAGGAUGGACGCGACGGACUGUAACAUCCAGAACGCCAUAGGUGAUCCUGGUCUCUGAAUGCUGCGACGACCUCCUGACACUUACGAUUAGCGAAUGUCUGCGGCGUGUUUCCCGAGUCAGACACGUUACACGCUUUAUUAUCAUCUCGAACUGACAGUCAGCGGUCUCUGAUAAAUGACGAUGAAGUCGACCAUACAAUUUAUGUAUGUGAUUAUCCACGUAUAUCGCGGAGACUAAUUAUAUCGAAUUUGUCGUAAUCGAGGACGGCGCUUUAAUUAAUCGGAUUUUUUUUUAUCAGCUAAGUCGAUUAAUUUUGUCGUUUGUCGGAGUGAACCGUUUCAAAAAAUUCCUACUUUUCUCCGCGCGAAAAUUAUUUUCCGCAAAAAUGGAAAGUAAUUUUCGAUUUAAUAUAUCUUGACUAAGCGGUAAAAUAUUGAAAAGGAUAUCUCUUUUUCCAAUUUAUUACUUUUACGCACGUGAGAUUUGUGGAGAUUUAUGCACAAUGGAAAAUUGCGCUUUGAGCUUGAUGUGAUAAUUCUGAUACAUUAAAAGUCACAUACAUAAUUUUAAUAUAUUAAAGUCAAUAUUUAUCGCGCGUUGUAAUCCAUGCAUAUUUAACGUAUGUAUUGCGGAUUACGGUGAGAGUUCUGACACGGGAGGUGCUCGAGUAAAAUUAUUGCCGCCAGACUUAGAAAGGGAACGGUGGGAAUAUAUAUUCUAGUAAGUGCUGUAAGUAAAUCGGGCAAUUCACUGGUGAAACGAUCGCUCUAACACUUAAAAGACCAUUAAGAACUUAAUGAUCACUAGCUGUCAUCCAUGAAAAUUUAUAAUGUAAUAUAACGAACGUUACUGUGAAUACUAAUGCAUUUUCCGAGUCAAAAAUUUAUAUGAUGAUAUAAAAUUAAAUAACGGAUAAUUUAUUUCCAUUUCAUUCAGUUCGAAAAAAAA